GGUUGAGCGACAACCCCUCCAGACAUCAUCGGGCCUCAGAAACCUCAGGAUCCCCCGGGAGGUGGGCCAAGGCCACUGCUAGUCCAGUUGGAUUCUAGUGCCUGUGACCCGGGAGCAGAAAUGCCGUUAUUCACACAUUGCGUGGACUCCGUACGGGCUCUGUGUCCGGUGCUUUGGAGACACAGAAGCAGAUUCCGCGGCGAGGACAGACCCAAGGCUCCUGGAACGGGAAUCUCGGUGACAUCAGCGGGAGCCCAGCCCGGGUGGCUCCUAGGCCAUGGCCGCGUCCUGAGCCUGAAGGAGCUGCAGAAGCUGGGUUUAUUUUGUGUGAGGAGAAGAAAAAGGACUGAGAAAGAAGGAAAGAAAGCAAGCGGGGAAAGAGUUAAGGAAGAAGGAAACAACUAA
Molecule: long non-coding RNA, 405 nt
Filed under: Fukomys damarensis (Damara mole-rat)
Lineage: Eukaryota; Metazoa; Chordata; Mammalia; Rodentia; Bathyergidae
Description: lncRNA (ENSFDAG00000028094.1)
Source: RNAcentral